GGCUUAAUAUCUAUUGUGUCUGAUAUAAAUACAUCUACCUCUGCUCUCUGUUGAUUUUCAUUUGCAUGAAAUAUCCUUUUUCUUUCUUUCACUUUCAGUCUAUGUGCAUCUUUAAAGGUGAGGUAACUCUCUUGCAGGCAACUUAUAGUAGGGUCUUUUAAACAAAAUCCAUUCAGCCACUCUAUGCCUUUUAAUUGGAUAAUUUAAUCCAUUUAACAUUCAAAACUAUUAUUUUCAGGUAAAGACUUACUACUACCAUUUCAUGAUUUGUUUUCUGGUUGUUUGGAAUAUAGUUUGUUUUUUUUCUUUCAUGCUACCUUCCUUUGUGCUUUGAUAGUUUUUUGGUUUGAUGGUUUGAUGGUUUUUGUAAGUAUGCUUUGAAUUCUUUCUAUUUAUAUUUUGCACAUCUAUAGAUGUGCUAUUAUGAGGCUUACAUUAAGUAUCUCAGACUUAGGCUAUUUCAAGCUAAACACCACUUAACUUUGAUCAUAUCUAACAACUCUUUCUUUUUAUUUUCCCUUAAUUUGAUUUUUGAUGUCAAUAUUACAUAAUUUUAUCAUUUGUUUUUCAUAAUUUAUUUUGCCAUAGUUUUUAGCAGUUUUAUCCUUUAACCAGUAUACUAGAAUUAAAAUUCCUUUACAUACCACCAUUUCAGACAUAGAGUAUUUGACUAUGAAUAUAUGUUACUUGUAUCAUUGAUUUUUGUAUUUUUGUACAUUUUAUGUUAUUAAUUAGUGAAAUAAUUUUUGUUUUUGUUUUUGUUUUUCAGCUUUGAGAACUAGAUUAAGUAAUUCCUGCAAGGCAAACCAAGUGAUGAUGAGCUCUCUCAGCUUCUGUUUGUCUGAUAAACUUUCUAUUCUCUCUCACUUCUGAAGGAAAGCUUUGCCAGGGUUUCAUUCAUUUUAAAGCUAACAGAAAAACAACAGAUUUUUAUAAUUAAGUUCCUGAGAAACCAUGAUAAAUACAGCAUUACACAUACUGUCGAUGAUAUUUUGGAUUUUGUAAGACACCAGAGAUCAAAACAUGCCAAAUUGGACUUCUUGUCAUUGUCUAUACAAACAAAACUCACAGACAUCAAAGCCACUAUGACCAUGCUGCUGAUGCAAGGACUGGUGUGUGCAAGAAAGUUUGUAUUUGGAACCAUCUCUAUCUUACACUUUUCAAAGUAAGAUAACCUAGGUACUUCCUACUUAAAACUCACAUGUCAAUAUGUUUUUGUGCUUCUCAAAACCUUCCUGGGCUAAGGCACAUGGAGCAAAUGUUAAUUUGCUCAAGAGUCCUGUCCUUUGCCUGUGUUUGUUACCAUUAAACUAUGACAUGGGCAUCAUGGCUUCUCCUGAAGUCAUUGUUUAUGCUUUCAUCAUAUUAUUCUCCCUUGCAAAUGCUAUUGUUCCUGAGUAUAAUAAAUCACCGGAUUUCCUUAUCGCAAGCUUGUUUGCCUUUCUUACUUGCUUUCUCUGUUAUCUAAUAUUUUAGUAAUAAUAACAACUACUUUCCAUUGAGUAGUUCAUUUGUGUCAGGCCCUAAGCUAAACACUUUAUGUUCAUAAUGAUAUUGAAGCAACAUUACAAACUUAUAAAUCCUGUUAACAACCCCAUAUUUUAGAUAAAGAAAAGAGGCUCAGAGAGGUUAAGUCGCUUACUCCAAGUCACACAGCUAGAGAGAAACCGAUCAAGCUGUGAGCUUUGAGGUUCUAACCCAAUGUGUCUAGUUCCCAAGUGUGUCCUCAAAGCCAUCAAACUUUUCUUCUUCCUAUUAUAUUCAGUUGGUCACAGAACUUUAUUGCUAUUUUUAAAAAUAUGAAUAUCUUCAUUUCCAUUCUUCCUUUCAACUAUUUCAGCUUAAAUUAUUUCAUUUAUUUAUUUAUUUUUGAGACAGAUUCUCACUCUGUUGCCUAGGCUGGAGUGCAGUGGUGCUAUCAUAGCUACCUGCAGCCUCAACUUUCUGGGCUCAACUGAUCCUCUCACCUCAGACUUCCAAGUAGCUGGGACUACAGCGUGUGCCACCACAUCUGGCUAAUUUUUGUACUCUUUUUUGGUAGAGAUGGGGUUUUACCAUGUUGGCCAGGCUGGUCUCAAACUCCUGACCUCAAGUGAUCCUCCUUCUUCGGCCUCCCAAAGUGCUAGGAUUACAGACAUGAGCCACCAUCGUGCCUGGCCACAGCUUAAAUGAUUUUAAAAUCUUGCAGUCAUAUCCUUAAAUACUUGUUGUUGUCCUACAAUAUGACAUUUAAACAGAUUAGUUACUGUCACUAAAUACUUCCAAAAUGAUAAAUAAAAUGUCAGAUUAACCAUGCAAAUUUUAGUCAGCUUAAGUAAUUUUUAAUAAAGUGAGAAAUGGCAGAAUGGUAUACCUUAAUUCCUGGGAAAAAUUUAGCAUCAUGUUUUUAAAUGAACGACAGAUGUUUUUAAAGUAUCUAUCUUGUUAUUUGCAGCUAGUUUAUAAUAUCUAAAUAUAGAUCUCAAAAUAGACAUUUUAACUAUUCAAUGUAACUAGUUCUCUUUGAAAUCUACUUUUCCGUGCAUCAUUUCACUCAAAGCAGAGAGCUCAUUUUCAGUCAGGUAUAAUUUUAUUACUAUGCCCCUUUGGGGGGCACCGAAAAGAUAAUCAAGAUAAAUGAUGUUUUUUAUCAUUUUUAAUAUUUUUUCUUAAAAAAAUCAAGUUGACAUACCAUAACCUGUGGGCCAUCUACCUAUUUUUAUAAAGAGAGUUUCAUUGGAACCAGAGUUUGGAGUAGGGUUAGUUGAGUAAAUACAUUCUGCAAGUAUAGAAUCAGAUCUUGUCUUUAUUUAAAUCUGUAAUAUUUUGUUCAUUACAUUUCUAAAAAUAAUUUAGAUUUACAAUAUUGCACUAAAAUAUUAUUUAUCUUGAUUCCUGAAUGUUUUCCUCCCCCACCUUUACCCACUUAAAUUUUGUGCCUGAGUCUGAAAAGUGAGUCUCACUCACUUUAUCUUAGUUUUAAGCCUGGUAUACAUGUGUGAAACUGUCAAUGCAAUCAAGAUGUUAAGCAUGUCUGUCACCCCAAAAAGUCUCAUGUCCCUUUGUAAUCUCUUCCUUCUGCCACUCCCCACUUAGACCUCUCCCAGUAACCAGGUAACCACUAAUCUGUUUUCUAUUACCAUAUAUUAGUUUGAAUUUCCUAGAGCUUUAUAUAAAUGACAAUAUAGAGUAUCCUUUCUCUUUUAUCUUCUUUCAUCCAGCAUAAUUAUUACCAUGUUGUGACAUGUUCACUCUUUUUUUAAGUGCUAAGUAGUAUUAUGUCCUUCCACCUGUUGAUGGACAUUUGGGUUGUUUCCAGUUUUAAAGUAUUACAAAUAAAGCUGCUUGAACAUUCAUGUGUAAGUCUUUGUAGGUAUAUAUGCUUUUCUUUCUCUUAUCUAAAUAUCUAGGAGUAGAAUUCCUGGAUCAAAUGAUAAAUGUAUGUCUAACUUUUUAAGACGUUGCCAAACUAUUUUCAAAAUAAAUGAAUCAUUUUAUGUUCUCAGCAGCAAUAUGUGAGAAUCCUAGGUCCACCACACCCUCACUGACAUUUAGUUGGAGAGGUGCGAUGAGGAGAUCUGACAGAAAAUAAAAGUGAGGGAGGACUUGCAAACUGCCUUUACUUUGAGUGUGUUCCCCAAUCCACACAAAGAUCGACUGGUUAAGUGUAGAAGGCUUAUGAGUUCAAGUUGUUUAUGUAUAACCGCUAACAAAUCAUUAAGUGACCACUAAGAUAUGUUGACAAAGGUGCAAUCCCUAAAAAUCCAGGCUUAAAAAUUAAAUUAGUAAUGAAAAAAUAAUAAAUCAGAGCAGAAACAUUAGCAACUGCACAUUGUGUGCAAGAAAGACUAUAGAAUUGGCUGGGCGUGGUGGCUCACACCUGUAAUCCCAGCACUUUGGGUGGCCAAGGGGGGCGGAUCACCUGAGGUCAGGAGUUCAAGAGCAGCCUGGCCAACAUGGUGAAACUCCGUCUCUACUAAAAACACAAAAAUUAGCUAGGUGUGGUGGCACACGUCUGUAGUCCCAUCUACUCAGGAGGCGAAGGAAAGAGAAUCGCUUGAACCCGGGAGGCGGAGGAUGCAGGGAGCCAAGGAACCCGGGAGGCGGAGGAUGCAGGGAGCCAAGAUCGUGCCACUGCACACCAGCCUGGGCGACAGAGUGAAACUCAGUCUCAAAAAAAAGACUAUUUAAUAUAGCAACAUACUAAAUAAAAAUCCCCCCCUAACACACACACACACACACACACACACACACACACACACAAAAUCAGUGACAAUUCUUUGGGGGAAGAAAGUAUUAGUUUUCUUUGCUGUAAUUGCUACAGCCUAGUGACUUAAAGCAACAUAAAUUUAUCAUCUCAGUUUCCAUGAGUCAGAAGUCGGGGCAUAGCUUAACUGAUUCCUUUGCUCAGUUAAUCAAUAGCUUAACUGAUUCCUUUGCAAGGCAAGAGUUAAGCGGUCAGCUGGGGCUGAGGUCUCAUCUGAGGCUUAGGUCUUCAGAAUUUAUAUGACUGUUAGCAGAAUGUAUUUAUUUUCUUACAGCCAUGGAACUCAUGGUGGCUUCCUUCCUUAGGAUGAACGAGAGAGAGAGAGAGAGAGAGAGAGAGAGAGAUCUGCUGCUAGUCCCUAAUUUCCUGAAUGUCUCUAAAGGGCUUCCCAAUAGGUCACACUCACCUAAGAUAAUCUCACUUUUGAUUAACUCUAAGUCAGUUGGGUAGAAACCUUUAUUUCAUUUGGAAAAAUCCAUUUACCUUUACUAUAUAAUAUAAACUAAUCAUGGUAGUGACAUCCAUCAAGUUCAUAGGUUCUGCUCAAACUCAAGGAGAUUAUUCAGUACAUGUACACUAGAAAGUAGGAAUUCUGAAGGUCAUCUUAUAAUUCUGUAACAACAAAGACUUGCUAUAUUAUCUAAAAUGUAAAAUUUCAACAAAAAAUUAUAAUACUUGAAAUGGAGAAGGGUUACUUGUACACAGAAAAAAAAAGCAGCCAAUAUAUAUUGUAUUGAAAAGGGCCAGGAUGUUGUAUUUAGCAAACAAAAAUGUCAAAACAGUGGUCACAAGUGUGUUCAAAAACUAAAUGAAAUAAUGUUUAAAGAAUUAAAGAUAAGUAUGAUUACUUACUCAUCAAAGAACAAAUUGCUCAUCAAAUAAAGAAUAAAAAAAGAGAUAGAAAUUAUUUUUUCAAAAAAAUUUUCUGAGCUUCAAAAGCACAGUAACAGAAAUAAAACAUAUCAGAGAGGCUCCAAGCUACUUUAAACUGGUAGAAGAGAGAAUCUGUGCAUAAUAGAUCAGUAGAAAUUGUCUAAUUUGAAGAAACAAAGAGGGAAGAGUAAAGAGUGAAGAAAAAUGAACACAGCCUUAAAGACCUGGGGGACAUCACUGAGUGAACCCAUACAUAUGUAUAUAAUGGAAGUUCUAGAAGGAGAGGUGAUAAAAGAAUAAAUAUAUAUAUAUAGGACUCAUAGCAAAAACUUCCCAAACUUGAUUGAGAACAUUUAACUACACAUCUAAGAAUCUCAAAAACUCCAAGUAGAACACACUCAGAGAUAUGUACCCAAAUGUAUUGUGGUCAAACUGUUGAAAGCCCAAAACAGAAAAUGUUAAAAAGAAAAAAACCACACACACAAGAGAAAUAUGACUUAAAAUAUACAGGCUAACUACAAUAAAAUUCAGAGUACUUCAGACCCAAUGGAGGUCAGAGGCCAAGAGAAUGGCAUAUUUAAAUUAUUAAAAGAAAGAAAUGCCAAUCAUAAAUUUUAUAUUCAGCAAAACUAUCCUUCAUAAAUGAAGGUGAAAUAAAAACAUUCCUAGCAGACCUGCUUUAUGAUAAAUACUAAAGGAAGUCCUUAAGGCUGAACAAAAUUAUACUAAGUAGUAACUCACAUAUACCUGAAAAAAUAAUGUUUAUGGUAAAGGUAAUAUAAAAAAGUAUAUAUAUAUUUACAUGUAUGUGUGUAUAUAUAUUUACAUGUAUAUAUAUAUAUCUUUUUUAACGAAUUUAAAAGACAACCAUAUAAAAAUAAACGUUAUCAAACUGUAUCAUUGCCCUUAUAAUGUAUAAACAUAUAGUAUACAUGACAACCAUAGCACAACAUAGGAAGGAGAAAAUAGAGCUAUAUCAGAAAAAAACUCCUAUAUUAUUGCACAACUCUAUAAAUUGUACUUUAGAAAUUAUUGUAUUGUACACGUAGGAUAGUGUAUUAGUUCAUUUUCAUGCUGCUGAUAAAGACAUACCCAAGACCACGUAAUUUAUAAAGGAAAACAGUUUUAAUGGACUCACAGUUCCCUGUGGCUUGGGAGGUCUCACAAUCAUGGUGGAAGGUUAAAGGCAAGUCUUACACAGCAGCAGACAAGAGAGAAUGAGAACCAAGUGAAAGGGGCUCCCCCUUAUAAAACCAUCAGAUCUCAUGAGACUUAUUCACUACCAUGAGAAGAGUAUGGAAGAAACCACCCCCAUGAUUCAAUUAUCUCCCACUGGGUCCCUCCCACAGCAAGUGGGAAUUAAGGCAGCUACAAUUCAAGAUGAGAUUUGGGUGGGAACACAGCCAAACCAUAUCGGAUAGGAAAAUUUUAUGAUAUACAGAUUAUAUCUCAAUAAAUUUGGUAUAAAAAAAAUCAGGGCCAAAUUUCUGCCAGGUAUCACUUUACACUUUUAUAAAAAUAAAUAUUUUUCUAGAGUUCCAGUGACUUCCUUACUGGUCUAAAGAGCACUACAAAAAUAAUGCAUGUAAAUUAUGCUUUUUCAUAACUAUUUACACUUAACAUUUGUUUCAAUGAAAUGAAGCCAAAACAUAAAAUUCCAAAGCAAAGUUAGAUCAUGAAUUGGCAGUGGAAGUCUGUACAGUGAUGUCUGAAUAGAGAGGAAAAAAUAAAGCUGGAA
RNAcentral lists this long non-coding RNA (6857 nucleotides) under Homo sapiens (human). Its description in RNAcentral is "HSALNT0076469". The record is from RNAcentral. Lineage: Eukaryota; Metazoa; Chordata; Mammalia; Primates; Hominidae.